CAUUGUCGAGACCGAAAAGAGACUGAGCCAUUUUGAAAACCUGUGAACUAUCUCCUUGGUGCCGGCGAAAGCUAUCGCCAAGCACUCGUCCUCCACCGCCGUCCCUCCUUUGAUGGAUCGACAGUUGCAGCGGGGUGGACGAGAAACAAAACCGGCACAGUUCUGUGCCAAGGUACAUGUAUAAUGCUAGCGUCGCCUGCGUGAUGCCCGGCCUUGUUUGGCUUGGCGGUGCGUCGAUGUCGCUUCUUGCAGAUCGUAUGACUCUCGGCAAUGGAUAUCUUGGCUCUUGCAUCGAUGAAGAGCGCAGCGAAAUGCGAUAUGUGGUGCGAAUUGCAGAAUCCCGUGAACCAUCGAGUUUUUGAACGCAAGUUGCGCCUGAGGCCAGCUGGUUGAGGGCACGUCCGCUUGGGCGUCAUGCAUUGUGUCGCUCCGCCUCUUGCCAUCCGCAUCUUCGAUGCGGUGGCGGUUGCUUGGAUGUGGAGAUUGGCCCGUCGUGCGUAACUACGCGGCGGGUUGAAGAGCAGGUUGCUUUCCUCAUGGAAAUGAUCGGUAAGGGGUGGAUGGAAGCCGCGAUUCGGUGUACAUUUGACACUACCGCAUCUAUGGCAUCGUGGAGGGCAUCGUUAACAUCCGAACAGGGAGGCCUCGAGUUUGAGCGUAGCUGGAUCCGCCUCUAAAUGCGACCCCAAGAUGGGUGGGAU
This 701-nucleotide ribosomal RNA is filed under the name Prasophyllum striatum. RNAcentral describes it as "eukaryotic LSU rRNA". The stretch from base 260 to 415 matches the Rfam family "5.8S ribosomal RNA". The record is from RNAcentral. Lineage: Eukaryota; Viridiplantae; Streptophyta; Magnoliopsida; Asparagales; Orchidaceae.